This 253-nucleotide ribosomal RNA is filed under the name uncultured bacterium. RNAcentral describes it as "partial 16S ribosomal RNA". It matches the Rfam family "Bacterial small subunit ribosomal RNA", at positions 524 to 776 of the family's 1533-position model. The record is from RNAcentral.
UACGGGAGGUGCGAGCGUUGUUCGGAAUCACUGGGCGUAAAGAGCACGUAGGCGGGUCUGUAAGUCAUCUGUGAAAACCCUGGGCUCAACCCGGGACGUGCAGGUGAAACGGCAGAUCUUGAAUACCUAAGAGGGUGGGGGAAUUCCUGGUGGAGAAGUGAAAUUCGUAGAUAUCAGGAGGAACAUCGGAGGCGAAGGCGCCUGCCUGGUAGUGUAUUGACGCUGAGGUGCGAAAGUGCGGGGAGCAAACAGG